UACGGAGGAUCCGAGCGUUAUCCGGAUUUAUUGGGUUUAAAGGGUGCGUAGGCGGCCUGUUAAGUCAGGGGUGAAAGACGGUAGCUCAACUAUCGCAGUGCCCUUGAUACUGAUGGGCUUGAAUGUACUAGAGGUAGGCGGAAUGUGACAAGUAGCGGUGAAAUGCAUAGAUAUGUCACAGAACACCAAUUGCGAAGGCAGCUUACUAUGGUAUAAUUGACGCUGAGGCACGAAAGCGUGGGGAUCAAACAGG
RNAcentral lists this ribosomal RNA (253 nucleotides) under uncultured bacterium. RNAcentral describes it as "partial 16S ribosomal RNA". It matches the Rfam family "Bacterial small subunit ribosomal RNA", at positions 524 to 776 of the family's 1533-position model. The record is from RNAcentral.